GGAGGAACCUCUGGAGAGAAUCGUUGAAUCGAUCGCCGAAGGAGCAAGUCCCAUCCGGGAUGAAACUCUCAGGCAAAAGGACAGAGGAGUGAAA
Molecule: non-coding RNA, 94 nt
Organism: Vibrio sp. MEBiC08052
Lineage: Bacteria; Pseudomonadati; Pseudomonadota; Gammaproteobacteria; Vibrionales; Vibrionaceae
Source: Rfam